GAUGGGUAGGGGAGCGUCGUGUGCCGGGUGAAGCAGCCGUGUAAGCGAGUUGUGGAUGGUUCACGAGUGAGAAUGCAGGCAUGAGUAGCGAUACACACGUGGGAAACGUGUGCGCCGAUUGACUAAGGGUUCCUGGGUCAAGCUGAUCUGCCCAGGGUAAGUCGGGACCUAAGGCGAGGCCGACAGGCGUAGUCGAUGGACAACCGGUUGAUAUUCCGGUACCCGCUGUGAAGCGUCAGCGCUGAACCAGGCGAUGCUAAGUCCGUGAAGCCGCCCUGAUCUCUUCGGAGUUGAGGGGAGUGGUGGAGCCGAUAGUCCAGACCUGUAGUAGGUGAGUGAUGGGGUGACGCAGGAAGGUAGUCCAGCCCGGGCGGUGGUUGUCCCGGGGUAAGGGUGUAGCCCGAGGGGUAGGUAAAUCCGUCUCUCAUUAAGGGUGAGACCUGAUGCCGAGCCGAUUGUGGCGAAGUGGAUGAUCCUAUGCUGUCGAGAAAAGCCUCUAGCGAGUUUUAUGGCGGCCCGUACCCUAAACCGACUCAGGUGGUCAGGUAGAGAAUACCGAGGCGUUCGGGUGAACUAUGGUUAAGGAACUCGGCAAAAUGCCCCCGUAACUUCGGGAGAAGGGGGGCCAUUGCUGGUGAU
This 639-nucleotide ribosomal RNA is filed under the name Streptomyces sp. SID8361. RNAcentral's name for it is "partial 23S ribosomal RNA". It matches the Rfam family "Bacterial large subunit ribosomal RNA", at positions 1223 to 1764 of the family's 2925-position model. Lineage: Bacteria; Bacillati; Actinomycetota; Actinomycetes; Kitasatosporales; Streptomycetaceae. The record is from RNAcentral.